Puniceibacterium sp. IMCC21224 is the source of this 59-nucleotide regulatory RNA element. It matches the Rfam family "terC RNA". Lineage: Bacteria; Pseudomonadati; Pseudomonadota; Alphaproteobacteria; Rhodobacterales; Paracoccaceae. The record is from Rfam.
UUGGGUGACCGGGCCCCUCUGGCGAAAGUGGCGGCGCUUUCGUGAUGUCGGCACUGAAA